RNAcentral lists this ribosomal RNA (495 nucleotides) under uncultured bacterium. RNAcentral describes it as "partial 16S ribosomal RNA". It matches the Rfam family "Bacterial small subunit ribosomal RNA", at positions 28 to 507 of the family's 1533-position model. The record is from RNAcentral.
GACGAACGCUGGCGGCGUGCCUAAUACAUGCAAGUAGAACGCUGAAGGAGGAGCUUGCUUCUCUGGAUGAGUUGCGAACGGGUGAGUAACGCGUAGGUAACCUGCCUGGUAGCGGGGGAUAACUAUUGGAAACGAUAGCUAAUACCGCAUAAGAGUAGAUGUUGCAUGACAUUUUCUUAAAAGGUGCAAUUGCAUCACUACCAGAUGGACCUGCGUUGUAUUAGCUAGUUGGUGGGGUAACGGCUUACCAAGGCGACGAUACAUAGCCGACCUGAGAGGGUGAUCGGCCACACUGGGACUGAGACACGGCCCAGACUCCUACGGGAGGCAGCAGUAGGGAAUCUUCGGCAAUGGACGGAAGUCUGACCGAGCAACGCCGCGUGAGUGAAGAAGGUUUUCGGAUCGUAAAGCUCUGUUGUAAGAGAAGAACGAGUGUGAGAGUGGAAAGUUCACACUGUGACGGCAUCUUACCAGAAAGGGACGGCUAACUACGUG